RNAcentral lists this transfer RNA (85 nucleotides) under uncultured Acidimicrobiales bacterium. RNAcentral describes it as "tRNA-Tyr-GTA". It matches the Rfam family "tRNA". Rfam says of the family: Transfer RNA (tRNA) molecules are approximately 80 nucleotides in length. Their secondary structure includes four short double-helical elements and three loops (D, anti-codon, and T loops). The record is from RNAcentral. Lineage: Bacteria; Bacillati; Actinomycetota; Acidimicrobiia; Acidimicrobiales.
GGGUCGGUACCCAAGUGGCCAAAGGGAGCAGACUGUAAAUCUGCCGGCUCAGCCUUCGGAGGUUCGAAUCCUCCCCGGCCCACCC